RNAcentral lists this long non-coding RNA (468 nucleotides) under Nicotiana benthamiana. RNAcentral describes it as "long non-coding RNA (NBEN_LNC011734)". Lineage: Eukaryota; Viridiplantae; Streptophyta; Magnoliopsida; Solanales; Solanaceae. The record is from RNAcentral.
GAGACAGGGAGGAGGUCAACCAGGAAAUGACCAUGUUAUUACAUCUAUCCCACAGUCUCUGUUGAGCCACAUUAGUGGUAGGUCGAGGACAUGAACCAUCACCAAAAAUGAUUUUGUUUUUAGUAGAUAAAGCAACAAUCAUCUUACGCCUCCAACCCCCAUAACAACAACCCGAGAAGGGAGUGGGAACAAGAGAGACCCUAGGGACAUCAGAGGAAUAUACAAAAAGGGGGCUAUUAGAGUCUACCGAGGAGGAGGUACCAACAUUCGUGUUAGAAUCCAUAAUCAAUAAACCGGCUUAAAAAAAAUAGUUUCAACAAGCAGAGUAUAACCAAGCUAGAUACUCAUACACAAAACCAGAUACUCACAUACGGAGUCAGAGAAUCACACACAAAGCAUACAAUGCUCAAGAUAAGGACAGAGUUACCCUCCUUCUUCGCGACCGGAGAAGAUCGGCCUUCAAUCAAC